AUUUUGAUGGCGACCGGCGGACGGGUGCGUAACACGUAUGUAACCUACCUUUUUCUAGAAAAUAGCCUGAGGAAACUCGGAUUAAUAUUCUAUAAUACAGUAUUUUCGCAUGAAAAUAUUAUUAAAGCAGAAAUGUGGGAAAAAAUGGGCAUGCGCCCGAUUAGUUAGUUGGUGGGGUAAAGGCCUACCAAGACGAUGAUCGGUAGGGGGCCUGAGAGGGUGAUCCCCCACACUGGUACUGAGAUACGGACCAGACUCCUACGGGAGGCAGCAGUGAGGAAUAUUGGUCAAUGGAGGAAACUCUGAACCAGCCACGCCGCGUGCAGGAAGAAUGCCUUAUGGGUUGUAAACUGCUUUUGUUUAGGAAUAAAAAUUUCUACGUGAUAGAAAUUCUGAAGGUACUAAACGAAUAAGUGUCGGCAAACUCCGUGCCAGCAGCCGCGGUAAUACGGAGGACACAAGCGUUAUCCGGAUUUAUUGGGUUUAAAGAGUGCGUAGGCGGUUUAUUAAGUCAGUAGUGAAAUGUUACAGCUUAACUGUUAAAAUGGCUAAUGAUACUGAUAGACUUGAGUGAGAUUGGAGUAAUUGGAAUGUGUGGUGUAGCGGUGAAAUGCAUAGAGAUCACACAGAACACCGAUCGCGAAAGCAGGUUACUAAAUCUAUACUGACGCUGAGGCACGAAAGCGUGGGGAGCAAACAGGAUUAGAUACCCUGGUAGUCCACGCCGUAAACGAUGAUCACUAGUCGUUGGAUUUUAUUAUUCAGUGGCUAAGCGAAAGUGAUAAGUGAUCCACCUGGGGAGUACGAUCGCAAGGUUGAAACUCAAAGGAAUUGACGGGGGCCCGCACAAGCGGUGGAGCAUGUGGUUUAAUUCGAUGAUACGCGAGGAACCUUACCAAGGUUUAAAUGUACUACGAAUAAGCUAGAAAUAGUUUAGUCUUCGGACGGAGUACAAGAUGCUGCAUGGUUGUCGUCAGCUCGUGCCGUGAGGUGUUGGGUUAAGUCCCUCAACGAGCGCAACCCUCAUUGUUAGUUGCCAACGAAUAAUGUCGGGGACUCUAGCAAGACUGCCGACGUAAGUCGAGAGGAAGGUGAGGACGACGUCAAAUCAUCACGGCUCUUAUACCUUGGGCUACACACGUGCUACAAUGGUCGGUACAAAGGGUUGCUA
Molecule: ribosomal RNA, 1171 nt
Filed under: Blattabacterium cuenoti
Lineage: Bacteria; Pseudomonadati; Bacteroidota; Flavobacteriia; Flavobacteriales; Blattabacteriaceae
Description: bacterial SSU rRNA
Rfam family: Bacterial small subunit ribosomal RNA
Source: RNAcentral